AUUCCACAAUUGUUGCUACCCUUGUUCACAAGGCAAUUGGAGAUAGACUUCAUUGUGUUUUUGUUGACAAUGGUUUAUUAAGGUAUAAGGAGAGAGAAUGUGUGAUGGAAACUUUUGAAAGGGAUCUGAAUCUACCUGUUACUUGUGUGGAUGCUUCAGAGCAAUUUCUUAGCAAGCUGAAAGGUGUAAUAGAUCCUGAGACGAAAAGGUGGAAAGGAGUUCAUUAGCAUUUUUUAUGCUUUUGCCAAUGAUUUGGAGCAACAGUUGGGAAAGAAACCUACUUACCUGGUCCAAGGUGUCAAGUGGUAGGAAGUUUGUGUAGUAAAAUAUAAAUUUUGAGGACUAAAGGGGAUAUUUUGUAUUUAUUUUCUAUUUAUGUAAUUUUAGAGUGUAAUGGCUCAAGCAUAGUGAUGUUCCCUCCUGUCACACUCCAUUUUGUUCCUAUCGCUCUUUAAGGGGGAGUGACUAAUCGGCUCGUGCUGGGCUCGGCUGGCGCC
This 497-nucleotide unclassified non-coding RNA is filed under the name Hevea brasiliensis (rubber tree). The record is from RNAcentral. Lineage: Eukaryota; Viridiplantae; Streptophyta; Magnoliopsida; Malpighiales; Euphorbiaceae.